RNAcentral lists this ribosomal RNA (437 nucleotides) under uncultured bacterium. RNAcentral's name for it is "bacterial SSU rRNA". It matches the Rfam family "Bacterial small subunit ribosomal RNA", at positions 341 to 792 of the family's 1533-position model. The record is from RNAcentral.
ACGGGAGGCAGCAGUCGGGAAUAUUGCGCAAUGGAGGAAACUCUGACGCAGUGACGCCGCGUGCAGGAAGAAGGUUUUCGGAUUGUAAACUGCUUUAGACAGGGAAGAAAGAAAUGACAGUACCUGAGGAAUAAGCUCCGGCUAACUACGUGCCAGCAGCCGCGGUAAUACGUAGGGAGCGAGCGUUAUCCGGAUUUAUUGGGUGUAAAGGGUGCGUAGAUGGAUAAUCAAGUUAGUUGUGAAAUACCUUGGCUUAACUGAGGAACUGCAACUAAAACUGAAUAUCUUGAGUGCUGGAGGGGAAAGCGGAAUUCCUAGUGUAGCGGUGAAAUGCGUAGAUAUUAGGAAGAACACCGGUGGCGAAGGCGGCUUUCUGGACAGUAACUGACAUUGAGGCACGAAAGUGUGGGGAGCAAACAGGAUUAGAUACCCUGGUA